RNAcentral lists this transfer RNA (65 nucleotides) under Acanthosepion pharaonis. Its description in RNAcentral is "Sepia pharaonis tRNA-Arg". Lineage: Eukaryota; Metazoa; Mollusca; Cephalopoda; Sepiida; Sepiidae. The record is from RNAcentral.
UUACAAGAACUGAUUUAUCAUAUAUGAUUUCGACUCGUACUUAGAUGUAUUUACAUCCUUGUAAU